GAUUGAACGCUAGCGGGAUGCUUUACACAUGCAAGUCGAACGGCAGCGCGGACUUCGGUCUGGCGGCGAGUGGCGAACGGGUGAGUAAUAUAUCGGAACGUGCCCAGUAGCGGGGGAUAACUACGCGAAAGCGUGGCUAAUACCGCAUACGCCCUACGGGGGAAAGGGGGGAUCGCAAGACCUCUCACUAUUGGAGCGGCCGAUAUCAGAUUAGCUAGUUGGUGAGGUAAAGGCUCACCAAGGCGACGAUCUGUAGCUGGUUUGAGAGGACGACCAGCCACACUGGGACUGAGACACGGCCCAGACUCCUACGGGAGGCAGCAGUGGGAAUUUGGACAAUGGGGGAAACCCUGAUCCAGCCAUCCCGCGU
Molecule: ribosomal RNA, 370 nt
Filed under: uncultured soil bacterium
Lineage: Bacteria
Description: bacterial SSU rRNA
Rfam family: Bacterial small subunit ribosomal RNA
Source: RNAcentral